Molecule: microRNA precursor, 63 nt
Filed under: Bos taurus (domestic cattle)
Lineage: Eukaryota; Metazoa; Chordata; Mammalia; Artiodactyla; Bovidae
Description: Bta-Mir-383-v2_pre stem-loop
Rfam family: mir-383 microRNA precursor family
Source: RNAcentral
CAGAUCAGAAGGUGAUUGUGGCUUUGGGUGGAUAUCAAUCAGCCACAGCACUGCCUGGUCAGA